UACGAAGGGGGCUAGCGUUGUUCGGAAUCACUGGGCGUAAAGCGCACUCAGGCGGAUCGAUAAGUCGGGGGUGAAAGCCCGGGGCUCAACCUCGGAAUUGCCUUCGAUACUGUCGGUCUCGAGUCCGGGAGAGGUGAGUGGAAUUCCUAGUGUAGAGGUGAAAUUCGUAGAUAUUAGGAAGAACACCGGUGGCGAAGGUGGCUCACGGGCCCGGUACUGACCAUCAGGUGCGAAAGCGUGGGGAGCAAACAGG
Molecule: ribosomal RNA, 253 nt
Filed under: uncultured bacterium
Lineage: Bacteria
Description: partial 16S ribosomal RNA
Rfam family: Bacterial small subunit ribosomal RNA
Source: RNAcentral